Molecule: ribosomal RNA, 404 nt
Filed under: uncultured bacterium
Lineage: Bacteria
Description: bacterial SSU rRNA
Rfam family: Bacterial small subunit ribosomal RNA
Source: RNAcentral
AAUGAACGCUAGCAACGGAUCUAACACAUGCAAGUCAAUGUCUAACAUGGCGUACGAGUGAGUAAAAGUUCGGAAUUUACUUGAAAAUUGGGAAUAUAAACUAAUACCCAAUACCCAAAGAAUAUAUCGUUUUCAAAAAAGCUGAACCAGAAUGAGGUAGUUGGUAAGACAAAAGCCUACCAAGCCUACGAAACUUAGCUGGUCUUAAUGGACGAUCAGCCACGACGAUACUGAAACAAGGAUCGUUCUUAGCUUUUUUCUAAGGCAGCAGUGGAGAAUAUUGGACAAUGAGCGAAAGCUUGAUCCAGUUACGUUGCGUGGGAUAACCCUUUCAUCAAAGAAGAUAAUGACUUUACUUGAAGAAGAAGUCCUGGCUAACCUCGUGCCAGCAGCCGCCGUAAAAC